CAGUAGCCACGGUAACACGGAGGGAGCUAGCGUUGUUCGGAAUUACUGGGCGUAAAGCGCACGUAGGCGGCUUUGUAAGUUAGAGGUGAAAGCCUGGGGCUCAACUCCAGAAUUGCCUUUAAGACUGCAUCGCUUGAACGUCGGAGAGGUGAGUGGAAUUCCGAGUGUAGAGGUGAAAUUCGUAGAUAUUCGGAAGAACACCAGUGGCGAAGGCGGCCCGCUGGACAUGUAUUGACGCUGAGGUGCGAAAGCGUGGGGAGCAAACAGGAUUAGAUACCCCAGUAGUCCCUGUCUCUUAUAC
This 301-nucleotide ribosomal RNA is filed under the name uncultured bacterium. Its description in RNAcentral is "partial 16S ribosomal RNA". It matches the Rfam family "Bacterial small subunit ribosomal RNA", at positions 509 to 807 of the family's 1533-position model. The record is from RNAcentral.